RNAcentral lists this long non-coding RNA (315 nucleotides) under Elaeis guineensis (African oil palm). Its description in RNAcentral is "long non-coding RNA (EGUI_LNC052170)". Lineage: Eukaryota; Viridiplantae; Streptophyta; Magnoliopsida; Arecales; Arecaceae. The record is from RNAcentral.
AGUAUUCUACUAAAUCUCCUUAACAGUGCCUCUACUAGCUUCAGAUUCAAUUUUUCAAUCAAAUCUAAUUUUGUGUAUGUCGGUCCUUCCACCUCUCAAACUUUAUCAAAUUCAAUUUCACAGGCAUUAGCUCCUUCCCUAAGGAACUCUUUUUUUAAAAAGACUGUCCUGCUACUGACAAACAUCUUUUGCUCUGCAACGAGGUAGAAGUAGUACCCUUUAGUUUUCUUUGAGUAUCCUACAAACAAGUAUUUAUCGGACUUAGGUCCAAGCUUAUCUAUCUUUAAAUGCUUGAUAUAAGCUGGACACCCCCAG